CCUACGGGCGGCAGCAGUGAGGAAUAUUGGUCAAUGGGCGCGAGCCUGAACCAGCCAAGUAGCGUGAAGGAUGACUGCCCUACGGGUUGUAAACUGCUUUUAUAAAGGAAUAAAGUGAGGCACGUGUGCCUUUUUGUAUGUACUUUAUGAAUAAGGAUCGGCUAACUCAGUGCCAGCAGCCGCGGUAAUACGGAGGAUCCGAGCGUUAUCCGGAUUUAUUGGGUUUAAAGGGAGCGUAGAUGGGUUGUUAAGUCAGUUGUGAAAGUUUGCGGCUCAACCGUAAAAUUGCAAUUGAUACUGGCAGUCUAGAGUGCAGUUGAGGUAGGCGGAAUUCGUGGUGUAGCGGUGAAAUGCUUAGAUAUCACGAAGAACACCGAUUGCGAAGGCAGCUUACUAAACUGCCACUGACAUUGAUGCACGAAAGUGUGGGUAUCAAACAGGAUUAGAUACCCGGGUAGUC
This 460-nucleotide ribosomal RNA is filed under the name uncultured bacterium. RNAcentral describes it as "partial 16S ribosomal RNA". It matches the Rfam family "Bacterial small subunit ribosomal RNA", at positions 338 to 795 of the family's 1533-position model. The record is from RNAcentral.